GCGGGUUUCGAUUUGGAGUUCUCCAGGCAAGCCGUGUGCGCGUAUCUCCCAAGGUUGUCUACCUGCCUCGGUUCCCCUCUCGUGUCCUUCUUGCAGACCUUGCACGUCUUGUCCACCCAUCCUUCUUCCACGUAUUCGCCCUCGACUGCCAUUUAUACGCAGAAAAUCGACCUAAGAAAUGAUAGAACAGGAGAAAUUGCGGCAACCGCACCGCAUGAACUGAGAUCGUCGGCUAGGGUUCCAACCUUCGACAUAGGACUUGAAGAAAUCCUUGUAGGUGCCCCCGAUCUUCCUCCUGAGCGCUCCAUACUGCAAGAACACACGGUCGGUGAUGUUUUCCGCAGCGGCCGACAAAUCUGAGACCCGCUCAGAAGAGGAAGAGGAAGGAAUUUUCCGUUCCGUACCUGUUCUCUCGACAUCCUGCCGCCAGAUCUCGUGGCUUCUCGCGCAUCCUCGAGGAGCAUGGCGUCCUCGGAGGACCUCACCUGGGAGAAAUCGAGCGCCUCCGUCACGUUAUUGAACAGGGACUGCACGCCGCCGCCCGUCUUCUUCUUCUUCUUCUCCUCCGGCUCCGCUUCUCCCGCCCCAGCUUUCGCCCUGAUUCCUCCGACGCCGGCGCCGGCGAUCUUGCCGGAACACCUCGAAACUGGGACGCUAGCGGGGAGCCUCACCGAGGGGCAGCAGGCCCUGGAAGACGAGAGAGGAAGAGCCCUGGAACUGGCGGCCAUGGCUGACCGUCGUCCUCUCCGGUGGCUGCUGCUGC
This 763-nucleotide long non-coding RNA is filed under the name Spirodela polyrhiza (greater duckweed). RNAcentral describes it as "long non-coding RNA (SPOL_LNC001492)". Lineage: Eukaryota; Viridiplantae; Streptophyta; Magnoliopsida; Alismatales; Araceae. The record is from RNAcentral.